CGGGCGCCCCGCGCUCCCCGUCGGGGGCGCUUUACCUCCCGAGACACCGUAACUUUCAAGUCCUCCAACUUGCCGCCGGCGCCAUCAUGACGCCGGGGGCUGGCGGGGACUCGGCCGACCCGCUGCCGCUCUACCUCGUUUCGGAAACCAGAUUGCAGACCCUUCAGCUCUUCCGGGCCAUUUGCGGAUCAAUGCGAGAACCGAGGCUGGAGUCGAUGGCAGUUACGCCAAUCAGUGUUGCUCAGGAGUUGGGGAAGCGCAGCGAGGAAGUGGAGGGAAACAAGUAAUCAAAAAAAAAAAAAAAA
Canis lupus familiaris (dog) is the source of this 305-nucleotide long non-coding RNA. RefSeq lists it as uncharacterized. The record is from RefSeq and is a predicted model, not a curated record. The transcript has 2 exons. Lineage: Eukaryota; Metazoa; Chordata; Mammalia; Carnivora; Canidae.